UACGGGGGGGGCAAGCGUUGUUCGGAAUUACUGGGCGUAAAGGGCUCGUAGGCGGCCAACUAAGUCAGACGUGAAAUCCCUCGGCUUAACCGGGGAACUGCAUCUGAUACUGGAUGGCUUGAGAUUGGGAGAGGGAUGCGGAAUUCCAGGUGUAGCGGUGAGAUGCGUAGAUAUCUGGAGGAACACCGGUGGCGAAGGCGGCAUCCUGGACCAACACUGACGCUGAGGAGCGAAAGCCAGGGGAGCAAACGGG
RNAcentral lists this ribosomal RNA (253 nucleotides) under uncultured bacterium. RNAcentral describes it as "partial 16S ribosomal RNA". It matches the Rfam family "Bacterial small subunit ribosomal RNA", at positions 524 to 776 of the family's 1533-position model. The record is from RNAcentral.